This 424-nucleotide long non-coding RNA is filed under the name Olea europaea subsp. europaea. The record is from RNAcentral. Lineage: Eukaryota; Viridiplantae; Streptophyta; Magnoliopsida; Lamiales; Oleaceae.
GGGCCAUUUAUAAAAAUACCCUAAAACUUUUCAACUCUUUACUCCCAAAUUGUUUAGAUGCUUCCAAUGAAACAUCUGGGUCGUGGCCAUGAGAACACCAAACCUGUUUCCCUCCUUUGUCAAGUCUAUGAUGCUGGCCACCGUUGUUUCGAUGAGAAUUACGUCCAAGAACUCGUUGAGAAAGCCAUUGGGUUCGGUUUGUCCAGAUAUUGUUUUGUGCUUUUUUAUGUUUGGGGGGUCUUCUUUUGCCUUUCUUUGAAGCCACAAUCUCUGUGAUCAAAGUGGAAUAGGACAGUUCUGAGAUGGGUAUAUGUAUCCCGGUUGGAUAGGAUUAAAAUUUUUAGAGUAUAUUAUUUGUGCUUCGUGAAUUUUUUUUGUUUAAUUGCUCUAAAUCUAAAACAAAGUUCAGAAUUUUGUUUAAUGG